Long non-coding RNA from Ostrinia nubilalis (European corn borer), 286 nucleotides. RefSeq lists it as uncharacterized. The record is from RefSeq and is a predicted model, not a curated record. Lineage: Eukaryota; Metazoa; Arthropoda; Insecta; Lepidoptera; Crambidae. The transcript is spliced from 3 exons.
CGAGAGGCUAGCGAUAGCUUGUCACGAGCCUGAGUUGCUGGCAGACUUGCUGCAUGCGGCCGCUGAUAUCGAUGGCGAGCACGACGGCCUGACUGCACUGCUAGGUUCCGCGUCGCCCGACUUGGCGCUAGCGUCCGACGCGUCCGAUAGCCUGCCGAUCCCGGACCACGACAAUGACUGCACGUCGUCAUCAAGCGGGCUGCUGACGGGCAUCACGAGGGUGUCAGUAGCGGUAGCAGGGCUGGAGCGUCCUCAGCUCUCCGCCAAGAAGGUCCGGCCGAAGCCC